RNAcentral lists this ribosomal RNA (187 nucleotides) under Heterosigma akashiwo. RNAcentral's name for it is "partial Bacterial large subunit ribosomal RNA". It matches the Rfam family "Bacterial large subunit ribosomal RNA", at positions 149 to 316 of the family's 2925-position model. Lineage: Eukaryota; Raphidophyceae; Chattonellales; Chattonellaceae. The record is from RNAcentral.
CACCCGUACCUGAACACAUAGGGUGCGUGGAGGGAACGCGGGGAAGUGAAACAUCUCAGUACCCGCAGGAAGAGAAAACAACCGUGAUUCCGUGAGUAGUGGCGAGCGAAAGCGGAUGAUGGUUAAACCGUGUGCGUGUGAUACUCGGCAGGGGUUGCGUGUGCGGGGUCGUGGGACCUGUCUGAUC